ACGAAGGGGGCUAGCGUUGCUCGGAAUUACUGGGCGUAAAGGGCGCGUAGGCGGGUCGUUUAGCUAGAGGUGAAAGCCCAGGGCUCAACCCUGGAAUUGCCUUUAAUACUGGCGGCCUUGAGUAUGGCAGAGGUGUGUGGAACUCCGAGUGUAGAGGUGAAAUUCGUAGAUAUUCGGAAGAACACCAGUGGCGAAGGCGACACACUGGGCCAUUACUGACGCUGAGGCGCGAAAGCUAGGGGAGCAAACAGGA
RNAcentral lists this ribosomal RNA (253 nucleotides) under uncultured prokaryote. RNAcentral describes it as "partial 16S ribosomal RNA". It matches the Rfam family "Bacterial small subunit ribosomal RNA", at positions 525 to 777 of the family's 1533-position model. The record is from RNAcentral.